This 89-nucleotide transfer RNA is filed under the name Rickettsia conorii subsp. raoultii. RNAcentral describes it as "tRNA-Ser". It matches the Rfam family "tRNA". Rfam says of the family: Transfer RNA (tRNA) molecules are approximately 80 nucleotides in length. Their secondary structure includes four short double-helical elements and three loops (D, anti-codon, and T loops). Further hydrogen bonds mediate the characteristic L-shaped molecular structure. tRNAs have two regions of fundamental functional importance: the anti-codon, which is responsible for specific mRNA codon recognition, and the 3' end, to which the tRNAs corresponding amino acid is attached (by aminoacyl-tRNA synthetases). tRNAs cope with the degeneracy of the genetic code in two manners: having more than one tRNA (with a specific anti-codon) for a particular amino acid; and 'wobble' base-pairing, i.e. permitting non-standard base-pairing at the 3rd anti-codon position. Lineage: Bacteria; Pseudomonadati; Pseudomonadota; Alphaproteobacteria; Rickettsiales; Rickettsiaceae. The record is from RNAcentral. RNAcentral also lists the same sequence under 1 other name.
GGAGAGAUGGCCCGAGCGGUUUAAGGCGCACGCCUGGAAAGCGUGUUCACGGCAACGUGUCGGGGGUUCGAAUCCCCCUCUCUCCGCCA